Molecule: ribosomal RNA, 198 nt
Filed under: uncultured bacterium
Lineage: Bacteria
Description: partial 16S ribosomal RNA
Rfam family: Bacterial small subunit ribosomal RNA
Source: RNAcentral
ACGCUCGACACCUACGGUAGGCAGCAGUGGGGAAUAUUGCACAAUGGGGGAAACCCUGAUGCAGCGACGCCGCGUGGAGGAAGAAGGUCUUCGGAUUGUAAACUCCUGUUGUUGGGGAAAAAGAGGAUGGUACCCAACAAGGAAGUGGCGGCUAACUACGUACCAGCAGCCGCGGUAAUCUGAGCGGGCUGGCAAGGC